UACAGAGGGUGCGAGCGUUAAUCGGAAUUACUGGGCGUAAAGCGCGUGUAGGCGGCCCGGUAAGUCCGCUGUGAAAGUCGGGGGCUCAACCCUCGAAUGCCGGUGGAUACUGUCGGGCUAGAGUACGGAAGAGGCGAGUGGAAUUCCUGGUGUAGCGGUGAAAUGCGCAGAUAUCAGGAGGAACACCAAUUGCGAAGGCAGCUCGCUGGGACGUCACUGACGCUGAGACGCGAAAGCGUGGGGAGCAAACAGG
This 253-nucleotide ribosomal RNA is filed under the name uncultured bacterium. RNAcentral's name for it is "partial 16S ribosomal RNA". It matches the Rfam family "Bacterial small subunit ribosomal RNA", at positions 524 to 776 of the family's 1533-position model. The record is from RNAcentral.